GCCGGGGUGGUGGAAUUGGUAGACACGGCGGAUUCAAAAUCCGCUGCUCGCAAGGGCUUGGGGGUUCGAGUCCCCCCCUCGGUACCA
Molecule: transfer RNA, 87 nt
Filed under: Gammaproteobacteria bacterium
Lineage: Bacteria; Pseudomonadati; Pseudomonadota; Gammaproteobacteria
Description: tRNA-Leu
Rfam family: tRNA
About the family: Transfer RNA (tRNA) molecules are approximately 80 nucleotides in length.
Source: RNAcentral